CCGCGUGAGGGAUGACGGCCUUUGGGUUGUAAACCUCUUUUUUCAGGGAGGAAGUUCUGACGGUACUUGAAGAAUAAGCAUCGGCUAACUCCGUGCCAGCAGCCCGCGGUAAGACGGGGGAUGCAAGUGUUAUCCGGAAUUAUUGGGCGUAAAGCGUCUGUAGGUUGCCUAGCAAGUCUAUUGUUAAAGGUUAAAGCUUAACUUUAGAACCGCAGUAGAAACUGCUAAGCUUGAGUACAGUCGAAGUAGAGGGAAUUUCCAGUGAAGCGGUGAAAUGCAUAGAUAUUGGAAGGAACACCAAUGGCGAAAGCACUCUACUAGGCUUUUACUGACACUCAGAGACGAAAGCUAGGGUAGCAAAAGG
RNAcentral lists this ribosomal RNA (364 nucleotides) under uncultured cyanobacterium. RNAcentral's name for it is "bacterial SSU rRNA". It matches the Rfam family "Bacterial small subunit ribosomal RNA", at positions 397 to 775 of the family's 1533-position model. The record is from RNAcentral. Lineage: Bacteria; Bacillati; Cyanobacteriota.